RNAcentral lists this ribosomal RNA (788 nucleotides) under uncultured Pelagibacteraceae bacterium. RNAcentral describes it as "bacterial SSU rRNA". It matches the Rfam family "Bacterial small subunit ribosomal RNA", at positions 53 to 889 of the family's 1533-position model. Lineage: Bacteria; Pseudomonadati; Pseudomonadota; Alphaproteobacteria; Candidatus Pelagibacterales; Candidatus Pelagibacteraceae. The record is from RNAcentral.
ACAUGCAAGUCGAACGAAGUAGCAAUACUUAGUGGCAGACGGGUGAGUAACAUGUGGGUAUCUGCCCUUUGGCCUGGAAUAACACGAGGAAACUUGUGCUAAUACCGGAUAAGUCUUUACAGAGAAAGCUUUAUGCACCAUUGGAUGAGCCCGCACUUGAUUAGUUUGUUGGUGGGGUAAUGGCCUACCAAGACUUUGAUCAAUAGCUGAUUUGAGAGGAUGAUCAGCCACAUUGGGACUGAGACACGGCCCAAACUCCUACGGGAGGCAGCAGUGGGGAAUCUUGCACAAUGGAGGAAACUCUGAUGCAGCGAUGCCGCGUGAGUGAAGAAGGCCCUUGGGUUGUAAAGCUCUUUCGUCGGGGAAGAAAAUGACUGUACCCGAAUAAGAAGGUCCGGCUAACUUCGUGCCAGCAGCCGCGGUAAUACGAAGGGACCUAGCGUAGUUCGGAAUUACUGGGCUUAAAGAGUUCGUAGGUGGUUGAAAAAGUUGGUGGUGAAAUCCCAGAGCUUAACUCUGGAACUGCCAUCAAAACUUUUCAGCUAGAGUUUGAUAGAGGAAAGCAGAAUUUCUAGUGUAGAGGUGAAAUUCGUAGAUAUUAGAAAGAAUACCAAUUGCGAAGGCAGCUUUCUGGAUCAUUACUGACACUGAGGAACGAAAGCAUGGGUAGCGAAGAGGAUUAGAUACCCUCGUAGUCCAUGCCGUAAACGAUGUGUGUUAGACGUUGGAAAUUUAUUUUCAGUGUCGCAGCGAAAGCGAUAAACACACCGCCUGGGGAGUACGACCGC